Diceros bicornis minor is the source of this 106-nucleotide small nuclear RNA. The record is from RefSeq and is a predicted model, not a curated record. Lineage: Eukaryota; Metazoa; Chordata; Mammalia; Perissodactyla; Rhinocerotidae.
GUGCUCACUUCGGCAGCACAUAUACUAAAAUUGGAACGAUACAGAGAAGAUUAGCAUGGCCCCUAAAAAAAAAAAAGAAAUUAUCUGAGAAAUAUCCAACUCAAUU